AGAGGAAUAGCUGGGUCAAAUGGUGGUUCCAUUCCCAGCUUUACAAGGAAUCUCCAUACUGCUUUCCAAAUUGGCUGCACCAAUUUGCAGAUCCACCAUCAAU
This 103-nucleotide microRNA precursor is filed under the name Marmota monax (woodchuck). Lineage: Eukaryota; Metazoa; Chordata; Mammalia; Rodentia; Sciuridae. The record is from RNAcentral.